UCAUCACUGCUAUCAGAGCUAUAUCCUCCUCCCCCCCCAGCUCCUGGUGACGACUGACGGCUAGCCACAGGGAUCACUCGAUUAUACAGGAGACGAUAUUGGCCAGAUUUACAAACCCGGGGUUCUCGACAUAAACAAGCAAUUUCAACCUGCUUUGAAAAUUUAACCUUGUUUCGGCACCUACGAAUUCCUGUGCUAAAUGUGGUAAGCUUGCAGUCUUCAAGGCACCUGGCAAGAUGAGAUCGAAUAGAAACUGUGUUGCCAAAUUUCUGGAUACAUGGAUCUCUAUGGCAGCAGAGUUCGAAAGCGAUAGCAAUCGCAAGCACGCCACAGUCUGAUCCAUUUGACUGCCUCUGAACAUCCAUCAUAUUGAUGGAUAGUGUGGGCGUUGAACAGGAGACAAGGCUACAUACAACCCGUACGGUGAUAUUCGAAGGUCUAGCAAAGAUCGUGUCAUACACAUUCACCGUACCUUCGUCACAGCCCACAUUCGAUACAACACACCAGUGACUGUUACCAACAAUGAUAAUUUGCACAAAGAUCUGAUCCUUGUGACAAUCGAAGGCCUGAUGCUGUGCAAGCGUAGGUGGUUGCAAUCCCUUCAUCAAAGGAGAGUGCUGUAGCAUUAAUAGCUGAGCAGCAGUGAUGACCCUGUCAUUGAGCCAACCACAAGAAGAUACUACCUCUUCCUUUUCUGCGAUGGUUAAUUUGUAUAAACAGUUCUCCAUCCAUACUUUUUCAUUUGUAGCAGCUGUGGUAGGGCCAUCAUCUUCGGAAAUGUCUACAACGACAGGUUUGGGAAUGACACACUUGCACUUAGCAAGGCAGGCAGCUUCAAGGGCGGCAGCAGCCAAAGAGAUAUUUGGAGAAGCGCGCCAAUUCCCUAGUGAAAGGCUGUGGUUACUGUUACUCAAAGAAAUUGUCAACACUUCUGGGGAAUAGCUUGCGUUAAGAAUACCACCGCCACAAUACAACCGAAAAAGAUUGCCUACUUUUUUAGCAAUCCGACAGAGAAGGUGCUGCUCUCCAAAACGACUGCUGUGAAGAUAAACGUACAUGCCAACUUCUAGCCUGUCCGUCUUGUCUACGUUGAUUUGUGGUUCGGGUUGUGCUGCAUUGGUUCGAUCGUUGAUGUGUGGUUCGCUGAUGUGUUUGUGAGCACUGACAUGCUCGUCUGGGAUCUCAUGGUCACUGUCUACGUCAGUCAUUGGUACAUGUGCAUCACCAUCAGGAGUGACAACAUCAUGCUCGUCUGGGACACCGUCGUAACACUCUAUGUCUGAGUCAUCACCAUCAGGCUCAUCUGGGACACCGUCGUAACACUCUACGUCUGAGUCGUUUAUUUUGGUAUGUGCAUCACCAUCAGGAGUGACAACAUUAUGCUCGUCUGGGACAUCGUCGUAGUUUAUUCUGGCAUGUGCAUCACCGAAAGUGCGCGACAGGUUGAGCCUUUUGUUGUAAGGGCGGGUGGGAUUCUUUUCCCUGUGAUAGUAGUUUUGGGGGUUCAUGGGACAGUAUCGUUUGUGAGCUCUUCCAUUAGCACCGCAAAUGCACCCACUGAGGAUGUCUUCUUCAAACGUGCCCAUAUCAAACUCCUCACUUGCGUAGUCUGAGUUGUUACUGCUGUCCUCCUGUCCAUCCUUGUGAGCGUCUUUCUUGGCUCGUUUCUUGGCUCUUGGCUGGUCUUUGCUCUGUUUCUUCUUAGGGCUGGACGCAGUCUUGGUUGCUUUUUUUCCGUAUGUGUCACGUCCAUGUUGGUCUGUCCAGACAAUGCGUUGCUGUCGAUCUAUCACUCUUAGCUUCUUCAGCUGCACUCGUCGUUUUUUGGUCUUUUCUGUUUUGACUCCUUCAAGUACUUUCUUCCUCUGUUGAUUUUGCUUGGACAACACCUCUUGUACACCUUCGUACAAUGGUAGAUUCAUUUUUUUGUAGAGCUCGGUUUUCCAGUGAUAGUCAGCCCCCUGUUGUUGAUACUCGUGUGUCAUGUUGGCUUGCAAUAGGCCGAGGUUGGUUGAGACAAUGUAAUGGAGCCUCUCUAAGAAUACGUGCUUUUGUCUAAAUCGUAUCAGAACACUGUGUGAACUCUCGAGCCAAUUGGAGUGGCCACGCUUCAGGAUGGGGUGGACUAGCUUGUCGGCCAUUUUUGUUCUCGUCAGGCACUCAAUUUUGUAUGCUAGUAGGUGAAAGGGGCAACGUAAUACCUCUUUCGUACGAUACAGUUUCCCUUCACACUCGUGGUGAUUUUUAUCGGCACACUCGCCGCAGUUACAUAGUGUAAGGGGGUGAAAGUCACACUGUCGAGCAACCACGCCGUCAGAUUCGAACUCGCAUUCUUUACAGGUGGUUAGAUAGUGUUUUUCACAUGUUUGUUCUUCCUCCCAUUGGUGCUCAUCCUGUACGUGGUGUGUUAGAUGACUGAGUCGUCUUGAGAAGUCAGCGGCAGACUCGCAGGUCGACAGUAUGGUGGAGAAGCUAUUUCUCGAACGCUGGCAGAACACGUCUGUCAGACAUCCGCAUCCUGCCUUACAAUUUUUGGAUUUGCAGUGACACUCGACAUUAACAACUUCUGGAAAAAAAUGUUUCUCCCUGUUUUGUAGUGCGGCAGUGAACUUCUUUUGCUUGCCUCGAACCAUCAGUAGCUUGAGGUGAGACUUUGCAGCAUGACCUCCGCACAACAUGAUUUUGGCACCGGGAAACGCUUUUAAGACACGUUUGCUAGAAGAAGAGUCACCAUCUUGCCAGUGGACUUCAAUGUUCAAACCCUCUGUGCGUGCCACAUUCAUCAAUUGUGUUGCACUGUACCCUUCAGUUGACUUAGAUGUGCCUUUGUACAGCGGUUCUUCGAUGAUGUGGUCUCGGCCUUUUUGGCACAGAUGUAUAAAAUAUAGCAGUGCUCCGUUGAAGUAGUUUCGUACGGUGAAUGUGGAAUUUUUGCUAAAGAAACCACGCGUGUGCCAGGCACCAUCGGCAGUAGUAACAGCUCGUGUCCAUGAUCCGAGUUCUUCCUGGCUCAUGUUUUUCAUUCUUUCUUUCUCUCUUGAGCACAUUUCCUCGACCAUUUCUUCUACUACAGGGUGCAUAUCCCUUAUAGUUUGCAUGAAUGUCGGAAAGGACACUGCCGCCAUGCCAAGGAUAUCAAGCACCUUCUUGUAUGUUGCAUGUGUGCAUCCUGCUGUAAUGAAGGCCACCUGUAGUGCCCUGCUGAGUUUGCUCUGUCUGGUUGUGGGGUGAUCCGGAAGAAUGGCACUGUCAAAAGUAUAAUACUUUGAGCAUCUCUUGCAUCUAUAGAUUAUUCGUGCCGCUCCUCCCAUUUGCUGAGUUCUCGCUUCAACAGGAAUAAGCCCUCCACGGCAGCCCGUUCUUUUGCAGCCUCUGCUGAACUUUUGAAUGAAGCUGUCCACCUGUCGCAUCUCUGCGAUUGUGCAAUUGUUUGGAAUAUCUGGUAAAGCGGGCAGCUUGAUUUUAAACUGUCGUAGUGGUGUUGGAAAGUACUCCGAUUCUCUGUCUGACCCGGUAUCGGUAUCGGUAUCGGUUGAAGUCAUCAAUACCUGAUUGAAAGUUUUGAGCUGUGCGGUUCUGUGAGCCUUUCCGGUCCCGUGUUUGCGCAUCCCUGAGAGGCUUGGUUUGGGUGUGACUUGUAUGCUUUGUCUUGGAGUUGAUUGUAAAUCGGACUCCUGUUGCUCCUAAGCAAGAGUGAAUAACAUCAAAUUUGCCUGGACUGUACAUGAUGUGCUGCAUUUAUCUAUAUCAGUGGCGUCUUUUUGAGAGAGGCUGUCGUCAAUUUCCUCCUCCUGAAAGUCAAAGCAAGAAUCUUCAUCUGAAUCUUCAUAUGGAGUGAGGCUGUGGGUAGGACUCUGCGACAGGAGGUCAAAGGCACUCUCCUCCUGGGUCAGAAUCCUCCUCUGAACUGAGGCUGUGGUUAGAACUCGGCCACGGGUCGAAGGCACUCUCCUGUGAAGGUCAGAAUCCUCCUCUGAACUGAGGUUAGGGUUAGAACUCUGCGACCGACCCUCCUCCUGUGAAGGGGUGGAGUCGGACUCUUGCAGCCUGGAGUACUCCUGUAGUUAGUAUCUCGACGUAAGGACAUACACACCUGAUAUGGGUCUUGACGGCAGAAGCUGGAUGGCUCGGUUUUUGGGGUGAGAGACAGCAGACGUACAUGUACAAACCUGAUAUGGGCUGGAUGGCUCGGUUGUUGGGGUGAGAGGUAAGAUUCCUCCUCUGGAGUGAGGCUGUGGUUAGGACUCUGCGACAGGUCAAAGGCACUCUCCUCCUGUGAAGCUGAGGGCACCCGGCUUAGACACGACUGACGGCUAGCCACAGGGAUCACUCGAUUAUGCAGGAGACGAUAUUGGGACCACCCCUACGUACAAGCUGAGGGCACCCGGCUUAGACACGACUGACGGCUAGCCACAGGGAUCACUCGAUUAUGCAGGAGACGAUAUUGGGACCACCCCUACGUGCAAGAUUGAGGAGCGUCUCAUCAAGUCUCCACCUGUCCAUUCUGCGUGGACAGUGCUUGUGUGGGGUCUCGUCAGAAGGGAGCGGGGUCGACACCUCUAUGGACACCACACCCUCUAACGCCCCCACCACUAUCAAACUAGGGGGCACUCCGCAACUUGAGCCACACCCAAUACCCUCGUGAAACCCCCCCCCUUUUCAAGUAAUGGUCAGAGUGUGCAGGGGAUCCCUCCUUGAUGUUUUCGGCAGUCACAAAGUACUCUCGGAUCUGCAGGACUACACCUACCUAUAUCAGGACAUGACGAGCUCAAGCACACCUGUCCAGCAACAUUUUCUCCAUACAACGCCUUCUCAUGGAUCUGACCAAUCAGGUGGAGGUAGCAAGAGUAUGGCCGCCCAGAUUGAGAAUGACGGCAUGGCAGGAUAUCAAUACUGGAGACUGCUGCCAGAAAAAAGUGGUUGACUCCUUCGGAAAGUUGAGGUAGAGUUGAUUGGGAGCAGUGAUAUGAGAAUGAAUUAAGCAGCUAAGGAUGAUAUCAAAGAACAGGAACAGAAAGCGAAUGACUUCGUGGAAUACGCUAGACGGCUCGCUUGUUGGGUUGUGAGAAUCUUCCAUGCUGGUUGCACUGUUGCUCAACUUGGUCCAACCCGCUAGUGUCUCACACUCUCAUUGUUCAUGGGGAUUACCCCGCCCACCUACCAUUUGGUGUUGUGCCUCUGUUGGCUACUAGUAAGUAAGCCAGGCUGUUGUUACGACGACUCUAACAGUGUGUACAACAAGAAUUUCUGCUUACAAGUGAGUUAGAGUAAACACAA
Halichondria panicea is the source of this 5277-nucleotide long non-coding RNA. RefSeq lists it as uncharacterized. NCBI's taxonomy places the organism in Eukaryota, Metazoa, Porifera, Demospongiae, Suberitida, Halichondriidae. The record is from RefSeq and is a predicted model, not a curated record. The transcript has 21 exons.